Small nucleolar RNA from Chelonoidis abingdonii (Abingdon island giant tortoise), 94 nucleotides. NCBI's taxonomy places the organism in Eukaryota, Metazoa, Chordata, Testudines, Testudinidae. The record is from Ensembl.
UCUGUGGAAUGUGAUGACUUCAAACUUUUUUCCCCAUCAGAUCGGCAAUGCUGACCAAAACUUGCAUUUUAGCCAGGCUGUCUGAUUCCACAGA